Molecule: non-coding RNA, 1657 nt
Organism: Peromyscus maniculatus bairdii (prairie deer mouse)
Lineage: Eukaryota; Metazoa; Chordata; Mammalia; Rodentia; Cricetidae
Source: RefSeq, a predicted model, not a curated record
AGGGAAGCACAGGACUGAAGAGCUUGGGCUGCCAGGCUCCUAGGACGUGGGCAGAUACAAUGAACCAUUGAUUGCUAAAAGGCACAAGUGUGCAUAUUUGUGCAGGCAGAGCAAACGGGCAACCGCGAAGUCCAACACAUUGUUUUUGUUGCUGUGUGUUUGUUUUUGAGACUGUACAGUGAGCUGUCUUUCUAGGCCCCAAAUCCUAAAAGCAGAACACAACCUGUAGCUGACCGGUGGAUGUGGUAGUAGAUGCCAGAAGCCAGAAGUUGGGAGGAGGAAGCAAGAGACCACGAGUUCAUGAUCAUCCUCGGCUACACAUGGAGUUGGAGGCCCGCCUGGGACAGAUACCUGAGACCCUGUUUCAACAACAAACCAACAAAAAUGUAAAGUUGAAAGGAAAAGAGCAAGUGACAAGGGACACAUGUCAUCACAGAUCUGUAAUUUACUUUGAGAUGAGUCCAAAGCAGCACACUGGACAGACAGAGGAAGAACUGACAGGACAUCAUUGAGGCUCUCCAAUCAAGCUGUGCUGGAAGAUCUCCCCGCGGGCUUCUCACAUCUUAAAAAAAAACAAAACAUUACUUUCUGUGUAUUUACAUGUCCCCUGCUUGAUCUCUUCCCGAGGAGUACAGGCCAGUCCACAGUAGGACGGACGUGAGAUGGCAGCCUUCCGGUCCCUCUUCAGAACACUGAAGGGCUCUUCCAACCAUCACCCACCAGUUGAUUUCCCGCCUUAAAACCAUUUCCUUUUCCAACUCGUACAGACUCUGAUCAGGGAAGGCAACACUAACAACGUGAGAUCAGGAGGGCCAAGGUGAACACAGACUGUGGAAGAGGGAGGCAAGACUGAUUUCCACAGAAAGUCCUUCGCCAGGAUCGAAACUCUGCAAACCUGGCUGCAUGGUCUCAUCUCCAGUGCAUUCCAGAGUCUGCAGCAUGUCCUUCCAGGCCUGCUCUCUGAAGACACCAAGACAUGGGUAAAAAGCAGCCUUGACAGAAAUUCCCACGAUAAACAUGUGUAGAUCCAUCUCCACUUGCCUGCCCCAAACUGAGUUUACUCUUUUCUCAACCUGAACCCAGCUCCCCUCCCCCAUUUUGGCUGUCAUGUGCUGGUAUUUGCCUCCUUUCAAGCAAGGCCCCUAAUGACAUGAGCGGACAGUUCAUACCGCUUGUCACAUACCUUUCUUUAAUCCUCCCAAUGGCCCUGGGGAGACAGGUACUCAAACAUCACCCUCCUCAUCUAACAGAUCAGAAAACCAAGGCUCAUGGAGUUGAUGCAAUCUCCCCAGGGCCCCAGGGCUAGCAAGAGUAGGAGAGGAGACACAGGCCGCUUGUCUGAUCCCAGAACCUUGUCUUCCACCAGGGCACCGGCACAGCCUCAGAUGGCCUCUUCCUCAGAUACUGGACUCAUUUCUAGUCUUCCAAUCCAGGACUGUGCUGCCUAGUUUUAUAGAGACUUGACCCAAACUAGAUUUAUCUGAUAAUGGGAAAAAAACAAACAAAACAAACAAACAAACAAACAAACAAACAAAAAACCUCCAUAAGAUUGGCCUGUAGAUAAAUAUGUGGGAAGGCCCAGACUAUCGUGGUGGCACCAUCCCUGGGCAGUGGUUUCUGGGUUCUAUAAGAAAGCAGGUUGAUUAGUCCUAGCACU